UACGGGGGGGGCAAGCGUUGUUCGGAAUUACUGGGCGUAAAGGGCUCGUAGGCGGCCAACUAAGUCAGACGUGAAAUCCCUCGGCUUAACCGGGGAACUGCGUCUGAUACUGGAUGGCUUGAGUUUGGGAGAGGGAUGCGGAAUUCCAGGUGUAGCGGUGAAAUGCGUAGAUAUCCGGAGGAACACCAGUGGCGAAGGCGACUUUCUGGCCUGUUCUUGACGCUGAGGCGCGAAAGCUAGGGGAGCAAACGGG
This 253-nucleotide ribosomal RNA is filed under the name uncultured bacterium. RNAcentral describes it as "partial 16S ribosomal RNA". It matches the Rfam family "Bacterial small subunit ribosomal RNA", at positions 524 to 776 of the family's 1533-position model. The record is from RNAcentral.